This 254-nucleotide ribosomal RNA is filed under the name uncultured bacterium. RNAcentral describes it as "partial 16S ribosomal RNA". It matches the Rfam family "Bacterial small subunit ribosomal RNA", at positions 524 to 776 of the family's 1533-position model. The record is from RNAcentral.
GACGAACCGUGCGAGCGUUGUUCGGAAUUACUGGGCGUAAAGCGCGCGCAGGCGGCUCUUUAAGUCUGACGGUGAAAUGCCGGGGCUCAACCCCGUGCCCGCCGCGGAUACUGGGGGGCUGGAGACGAGUAGAGGCAAGCGGAAUUCCGGGUGUAGUGGUGGAAUGCGUAGAUAUCCGGAGGAACACCAGUGGCGAAAGCGGCUCUCUGGGGGCAACCUGACGCUGAGGCGCGAAAGCGUGGGGAGCGAACCGG